Molecule: ribosomal RNA, 928 nt
Filed under: uncultured bacterium
Lineage: Bacteria
Description: bacterial SSU rRNA
Rfam family: Bacterial small subunit ribosomal RNA
Source: RNAcentral
GUGCCAGCCGCCGCGGUAAUACGUAGGGCGCAAGCGUUGUCCGGAAUUAUUGGGCGUAAAGAGCUCGUAGGCGGCUUGUCGCGUCGGUUGUGAAAGCCCGGGGCUUAACUCCGGGUCUGCAGUCGAUACGGGCAGGCUAGAGUUCGGUAGGGGAGAUCGGAAUUCCUGGUGUAGCGGUGAAAUGCGCAGAUAUCAGGAGGAACACCGGUGGCGAAGGCGGAUCUCUGGGCCGAUACUGACGCUGAGGAGCGAAAGCGUGGGGGAGCGAACAGGAUUAGAUACCCUGGUAGUCCACGCCGUAAACGGCGGGGCACUAGGGUGUGGGCAGCAUUCCACGUUGUCCGUGCCGUAGCUAACGCAUUAAGUGCCCCCGCCUGGGGGAGUACGGGCCGCAAGUCUAAAAACUCAAAGGAAUUGACGGGGGGCCCGCCCAAGCCGGCGGGACCAUGGGGGCUUAAUUCGACGCAACGGAAAGGAACCUUACCAAGGCCUUGAACAUUACCCCCGGAAAACAUCCAGAAGAUGGGGUGCCCCCUUUGUGGUUCGGUGUCACAGGGUGGUUGCAAUGGUUGUCCGUUCGGCCUCGUGUUCGGUGAGAAUGUUGGGGUUAAGUCCCGGCAACGAAGCGCAAACCCUUUGUCCCGGUGUUGCCAAGCAGGCCCUUUGUGGUGCUGGGGAACUCACGGGAAGACCGGCCGGGUCAACCUCGGAGGAAGGUGGGGACGACGUCAAAGUCAUCAUGCCCCUUAUGUCUUGGGCUGCACACGUGCUACAUGACCGGUACAAGAGCUGCGAUACCGUGAGUGGAGCGAAUCUCAAAAGCGGUCUCAGUCGGAUGGUCUGCACUCGAUCCAUGAGUCGAUCGCUAGUAGUCCGAUCACAAUAGUCGUGAUACGAUCCCGACUGACUUCACGUCGUUAAGUCGAUC